GCCCCUGACGAGCCCGAACUCGUCAACUUCCUGUCGGUACUUGAAGAAGCGGAGCCAGGGCUGAGAUCCCGAAGGCGGGCGAGGUCUGGGAUGGGGCGGGGCCUAUGGGAGCGGGGCUGAAGCCCUGGGCCCGGCAGAGGAAGGUCGAGAUGGACCAUGUUGGGCCCCUUCUCUCCCCGCCCCCAGGCCGCAGUUCGGGGGCCACGCCCCGGCGUGCUCGGGUCACCGCGGGAAGCCCUUGAACCCCCUGGCGCCCGGCACCCACGUGCGGUAACCGCGGCUCCUCGAGAGCUCCAGGGAUGCGGAUCUACAGUAAGGGCUGUGGCCAGAUGAAUGAAUGCACAUUUUUUAGUGGGCAGAAAGAUGUUAGAAUUCAUGAAUUAGAAUAAGCACAAAGGAGGGCGAGAGGGGAGGCCGUGGAAGCCGCAUUCCUCCCCUUGCCUUGGGCGCCCACCCCCGAAGGGGCGCGUCCCCUCCCUGCUCCACUGCACGUGGGUGUUUAACCAGGGGAUAUCCAGUGCCUCAAGCACCACGACCCGGGAGAAAACUGAGUUGAGAAGGCCUUGGGGAUGAAGGUGAGAAAUUCGAGAAUCCCCGGAGAUAACACAUCAGCAAAUAGUGCGCAGGCAGAACAAGCUGUUGGAGGUGAGAGACACAGAGCAGAGAAGCACCCGCACCUGGAGAGUCAGGAGGGCCUCACAUCAGAACGCCUGAGCAAAUACAGUUUUGAAGGAUACUAAUUUUUUAAAAAGUUCAUUCACAUGAGUUAGACAAAGAGAAAGAAGCAGGACAUUCUAGGAAGAAGGAACGGCCCAGGCAAAAGCGACGCGUACAUUGGCGUGGGUCCAUUCAAGAAUUGUGCCCACAAUAUACCAGGCACUUGUCCAGACCUGCAUCGUCCAAUGCCCACCUCGACCUCCCAAAGUGUUGGGAUUAGAGGCGUGAGCCACCGCGCCCUGCCUGCAUGUGGCUAUUGAGAUGUGCUGUAUGAUACACACCGGACUUUGAAGACUCAGUGUGAAAAAUAAAAAGAAUUUUAAGAGGGGUGGGGGUCGAGGGGAGGCAGAGCAGUAGGACAAAUAGCUAAUGCACGCAGGGCUUAAAACCUAGACAACAGGUUGAUGGGUGCAGCAAACCACCAUGACACAUGUUUAUCUAUAUAGCACCUACAUGUUCUGCACUUGUAUCCUGGAACUUAAAAUUAGAAAAAAAAAAUAAUAAAAGCCAACAUGGCAUUCAUUACUGCCAAAAAAAUUAAAACACAUUGUUAAUUUUGUAUAUUGAUUACAGGUUGAACUGAUAAUAUUUUGAAUAUAUUGGGUUAAAGAAAUACAUUUAAAAUUAGUGGCUAGGCACAGUGGCUCAUGCCUGUAACCCCAGCACUUUGGGAGGCUGAGGCGGGUGGAUCACCUGAGGUCUGGAGUUCGAGAUGAGCCUGGCCAACAUGGUGAAACCCCAUUUCUACUAAAAAUACAAAAAUCAGCCGGGUGUGGUGGUGAGUGCCUGUAAUCCCAACUACUUGGGAGGCUGAGGCAGGAGAAUCGUUUGAACCCGGGAGGUGUAGGUUACAGUGAGCCGAGAUUGUCCCACUGCACUCCAGCCUGGGUGACAGAGUGAGACUCCAUCUUAAUAAUAAUAAUAAAACUAUUUCUUGCUGUUUUACUUUUCUAAUGUGACCACCAGAAAAGUUUAGAUGGCUUGUGUGACUCUCAUCAUUGAACGGAGCUGUUCUAAACAUGGGUAAGACAACGCAGAGCUUCGGUUGCAGGACAGAGAAUGAAAUAAUAGACCCAUAAGACAGAUAAGUGACUGAUUGUGACUGCUAGGGUGUUUACAGCAUAGGCCGGUGACAGGAACGAGGAGUGUGGGGAUGAGAGCCGACGUGGGCGAGAGUGCAUGCAAUGCAGGGUCAGACGUUGGAUUCAUCUCUCAGGAGUUGAAAAAGGUGGCGUUCCUGUUCUUUAUUGGCAUUGCUUGUGACACGAGGAUUGCCCCUCUUCCUGAAGAGGUUGGUCAGGAAAAUUUUUUGUUAACUUUUAUUUUAGGUUUGAGGGUCCAUGUGCAGGUUUGUUUCAUGAGUAAACUCAUGUCAUGGGGGAUGGGUGUACAGAUAAUUUCAUCACUGAGGAAUAAGCCUAGUACCCGAUGGGUAUUUUUUCGGAUCUUCUCCCUCCUCCCAUCCUCCACCCUCAGGUAGGCCCCGUUGCCCACCGUUCCCCUCCUAAUAUCCCUGUGUUCUCGCUGUGGAGCUCCCACUUAUAAGUGAGAACACGCGGUGUUUGGUUUUCUGUUUCUGCCUUAGCUUGCCUCCACCUCUAUCCAUAGUGCUGCAAAGGACAUGAUCUCGUUCCUUUUUUAUGGCUUCAUGGUAUUCCACGAUGUAAAUGUACCACAUUUGCUUUGUCAAGUCUACUGUGGAUGGGCAUUUAUGUUGAUUCCACAUCUUUGCUAUCAUGAAUAGUGUUGUGGUGAACAUACACCUGCAUGUGUCUUUAUGGUAGAACGAUUUAGAUUCCUCUGGGUAUAUACCCAGUCAUGGGAUUGCUGGGUUGCAUGGUAGUUCUGUUUUAAGUUCUUUGCAGAAUCACUAUGCUGCUUUCCGCAAUGGUUGAACUAAUUUGCACUCUCAAUAUUAUAUUGUCUAUAGCUGAGAAAGCUGAAAUGUAAAGAUUAAGUCACUUGUCCUCAGACAUGUAGACAGGAAGUGGUACAGCCAGGACUCAAACCUGCCUCCAGAGCCCGUCCUCCUAAACCUAAGUCAUGGUUUUCAAAGUGUGGUCCUUGGAUCAGCAGCAAAAGCACCACCUGGGCACUCAUUAGACAUGGAAAUUCUGGGCCUCAACCCGGACCUCAGCAUGGGAAUCCCUGGGGGUGGAGCCCGGCGGUUUGUGUUUGGGCAGCCCCAGCUGACUCUGAGGCACCAUCAGGUUGGAGGCCACAGUGGGUGAUAGUCCCUGCCCUGUGGUAGCAGCCGGCCUCCCUCCUUCAUUUCUGUUAUUCCAUCUCCUUCUUAAAACAACCCUGUGAGGCUGGCAGGGCAGAUGUCGAUUUUAUUUAACAGAUGAAGAAACUGACCCUUGAGGUUUUAUGACUUACCCAAAGUCAUCGCAUUAGUUUUGGAACUGAAACUUCAAUGGCAGAUCUUCUGGCUGUUAGUCUGAGACUGGAACUAGUACCCACAAGGACUCUGGGAGCAGUAAGGUCAGAGCAGGAGCUACUGCUUCAUUUCAUUGCCUCUAGUGAAGGAGGAGGGGGGUUCCCAGAGCACGGCUUCUCCAUGGGUCUAGCCCAUGAUAGCUGGGUGCUUACCCUGAUGUGCUGAUGAGAUUCUGCCUUAUCUCCUGCAAGCCAUUUGUGCUGUGCUAGGAUUAAACAGUACACUUUGGAACCUUAGCUGCCCACACCCUGAGAGCCAAUCACGCAGAACCCACAGGAAAUCUCGGGGCAGAAGUAGUUUGCCAUAAAUGUCCAUUUUCUCAUUUUUUGUUGUUGUGACGGGGUCUUGCUCUGUCGCCGAGGCUGGAGUGCAUUGGCGCAAUCAUAGCGCACUGCAGCCUCAACCUCCUGGGCUCAAGUCAUCUUUCCACCUCAACCUCCAAAAUAGCUGGUAUUACAGGUGUGCGCCUCCUGUAUAAUUAAAAAAAAAACAUGUUUUGAGGCCGGGUGUGGCGGCUCAUGCCUGUAAUCCCAGCACUUUGGGAGGCCAAGGCGGGUGGAUCAUGAGGUCAAGAGAUUGAGAUCAUCCUGGCCAACAUGGUGAACCCCCGUCUCUACUAAAAAUACAAAAAAUUAGCCGGGCGUGGUGGCAGGCACUUUUAAUCCCAGCUACUUGGGAGGGUGAGGCAGGAGAAUCGCUUGAACCUGGGAGGUGUAGCUUGCAGUGAGCUGAGAUCACACCACUGCACUCCAGCCUGGGCAAAAAGAGUGAAACUCUGUCUCAAAAAAAAAAAUGUUUUGAGGUUACAGGGAGCUAUGAUCACACUACUGCACUCCAGUCUAGAUAACAGAGCGAGACCCUGUCUCUGAAAAAAAAGAAAAAAAAUUCUUUGUAGAGACAAGGUUUCACUAUAUUGCUCAGGCUGGAAUCAAACUCCUGGCCUCAAGCAAUCCUCCUGUAUUGACCUCUCAAAGGGCUGGGAUUACAGGCGGGAGCCACUGUGCUCAGCCUGCAUUUCCUGAUGCAACUCGUUCACAUUCCAUCCAUUAUCAACAAUCCCCACAACUUCACCUCCUGCCAUGGAUGCCUGAGGCUGGGGAAGGGGAACUUCAUUCGGGUGUGGGCGUCACCUUAGCCACAGAGAACCUAAAAGAGUGAUCAAGCCUCACCUGAGGUUGGGAGUUCGAGACCAGCCUGACCAACAUGGGGAA
This is a long non-coding RNA of Homo sapiens (human), 4368 nucleotides long. Ensembl annotates it as RNASEH1 divergent transcript. Its record names the gene RNASEH1-DT. NCBI's taxonomy places the organism in Eukaryota, Metazoa, Chordata, Mammalia, Primates, Hominidae. The record is from Ensembl.